GCUCAUGACCACCGUUAGUCCCCUCACCGCCUCAGACCCGCCAACUGCCCUGUACACGAGGCCCUAUAAGACAUCGACCCACCCGCCGUCACUCGAGACACGCCGUUACCCGGGUACAGGUCCUGUCGCCAGCCAGCAGAGAGCUCUUGGCUUCCUCGUACAACGAGCCCCGCGCCACCCGCCAUCCACCCGCCAUCCACCCGCCUUGCACGAGUCCCGGGUGCAGGAAACUUUUCGUCUUCGUGCGUGAUCUCUUUCCUUCUUUUUUCCUUUGGUGUUUGGGCGAGCGUGACUGAUAAUUGUGUGGACCACCAACUCGUGACUUUGGAAAUGGACUCCAGGAAGCAGCCAUCGUCCCUCGUGCCUUCAUGGGUCAAGAAAUUCGACGAUUACAAUGGCAAAGAGUUUGCUUUCCCUCGCUCCACUGGUUCCAACGAUUACUUCAAGCUUAAGUCGAACUCGUCUGCCCCUCUUGAGCCGUUGGAUUUCGAUAACCCGACCUUUGAACCAGAAGACUUGCGCAGAGUUAAUCCUCUUUACACUAACGGCUUUGACGAGUUGGGCAAGAAAAACACGGCAAACGAUAUUCCCUACCACUUCUACCACUCCAUCGAUGAAAGGAGGGAGGAGCCGCCGAGAACAGCCAAAGAGUUUCCACGGGGCAAGAGCCGCCCGUAUGAACUCGAGGACGAACCCAAGCCGUCAUCUAACACCGUCGUCGCUGCAUCAUCAUUAUUGUCGUUAUUCUAGUCAUUGCUGCCAUUGCUGGUGCAGUAGCUGCGGCACUCGUCUUAACAGUGUUCAAAAAUGAAGACUCGUCGAAAGAAAGUACACCAGGGGCAUCGGCAGCCUUUCUGACAACGGCCAACAUGAGCGUCCAUGUCACGUCUUGGGAGUAUGAGGAGGACAUGAGUAAUUCAUCAUCUGAAAUAUUCAAUAACUUUACAACGACUUUCUGC
Long non-coding RNA from Pomacea canaliculata, 959 nucleotides. RefSeq lists it as uncharacterized. The record is from RefSeq and is a predicted model, not a curated record. Lineage: Eukaryota; Metazoa; Mollusca; Gastropoda; Architaenioglossa; Ampullariidae. The transcript has 4 exons.